UACAGAGGGGGCAAGCGUUAUUCGGAAUUAUUGGGCGUAAAGGGCGCAUAGGCGGCUUUGCAAGUGGCGGGUGAAAUCCCUCGGCUUAACCGAGGAACUGCCUGUCAAACUGCAUGGCUUGAGACCAGGAGAGGUGAGUGGAAUUCCCAGUGUAGCGGUGAAAUGCGUAGAUAUUGGGAGGAACACCAGUGGCGAAGGCGGCUCACUGGACUGGUACUGACGCUGAUGCGCGAAAGCGUGGGGAGCAAACAGG
RNAcentral lists this ribosomal RNA (253 nucleotides) under uncultured bacterium. Its description in RNAcentral is "partial 16S ribosomal RNA". It matches the Rfam family "Bacterial small subunit ribosomal RNA", at positions 524 to 776 of the family's 1533-position model. The record is from RNAcentral.